UGACCUCGUGAUCCACCCGCCUCAGCCUCCCAAAGUGCUGGGAUUACAGGCGUGAGCCACUGCGCCCAGCUAAUUAUUGUAUAUUUAGUGGAGACGGUGUUUCACCAUGUUGACCACGAUGGUCUCGAUCUCUUGACCUCGUGAUCCACCCGCCUCGGCCUCCCAAAGUGCUGGGAUUACAGGCGUGAGCCACCGCGCCCGGCCAUUUCCAAUAUUCUUAAUUGCUCUUUAUGUGUCCAGGUUUCUAACUGGUAUCAUUUCUCUUUUUGCAUUGUUGAUGGUAUAGGCGACAAAUUCUCUCAGCUUCCAUUUGCCUGAAAAAGUCUUUCAUCUUCAUUUCUAAACAAUACUUUUGCUAGACAAAGAAUGGGUCUCACUUUGUCACCCAGGUUGGAGUGCAGAGGCAAGAUCUCAGCUCACUGCAGCCUCGAACUCUUGGGCUCAAGCAACCCUCCUGCCUCAGUCUCCUCAGUAACUGGGACUACAGGUGUGUGCCACCAUGCUGGGCUAGUUUCUGUUUUUAAGUUUUAGUUUGUUGCCCAGGCUGGUCUCAAACUCCAGGACUCAAGUGAUCCUACCACCUCAGCCUCCCAAAGUUUUGCGAUUACAGACAUGAACCACGGUGCCCAGCCAGAAUCCUUUAUUGUAACUUAAACAGUGAGCAUGAAAUAGCCUGGGCGACUUAGAGGACUGAGCGCCAUCACAGCUGAAUGCAGGAAUUAGGCACUCUGGGGUAGCUUAAACCUCCACUCCCAUCUACUGCUCUGGUCUUUGCCAAAGGUGGGUCCGCUGGUAAACUCAUAGGACGUUUGUUGCCUUUGGCUACACAUUUAGAGAAAUUACUUCCCUCCAAAUGUUCAUGGUCUGGUUGAAAUAGUAUAUCUAGUGCCUGCCUCCCAACUAAGGAGGCAAAAUGGUCGUGUUCUAUCUAUCAGUAUACUGGUACAGCCAGGAAGCCAGAAAAUGAACAAAACUGGCCUGUGGGUUGCUUCAUUUGCAGACUAAAGGAAUGGCUGAGGAAUCAAUCCAGUGGUGGUACUCUAGCUCUAGCUUUCAAACGUGGCCGUUACAGUGGCUCCUGCUUCCUCGUUCUCUAGGAACUAACUUCUAGCCUCCUUUGGAGCAUGGUUCUUAAGGUUCCCAUUGGGUCUGGAAUCCUGCAAAAUCUUUCCAAUAAAUGUAUUUGCUUAAGUUGGGGUCUACUUCUUGGAACCUAAGAACCCUAACUAAUACAGUGGUUAACUGUGGGCUGUAGUAAAUUGAAUGCUCCUGCUCCUGUUCUGUCAAUGCUAUGCCUGAUUUUGUUUCUAAAGUGAAAAAUUAUCAUUAAUAACCCCCAGUUUUCAUGAGCUCUCUAAGGAAUCUGGCUAAUACAGUCCUCUCUCCCUGUUAACCACUGGCAAUAGUAUUUCGAUGCAUCUGCUUCCCAGCUUGAUGUCAUAAUGAAGUGCAAUGGAAUUUAAACCGAUGGCCUAAACUAGAGCUAAAUAUUAUAAUUACCCAUGACAUUGGUAAUAUAUUGAUUAGGGAGACUAGGAACAUGGAAGACAAGGUGUGGGUUAAGUAAAUAAAACCAACCAAGGAAUCGAGAAAUGUAAGUUA
Long non-coding RNA from Callithrix jacchus (white-tufted-ear marmoset), 1602 nucleotides. NCBI's taxonomy places the organism in Eukaryota, Metazoa, Chordata, Mammalia, Primates, Cebidae. The record is from Ensembl.